UACGACUACAUAUCAGGCAUAUCAAUAAGCGGAGGAAAAGAAACUAACAAGGAUUCCCUUAGUAACGGCGAGUGAAGCGGGAAGAGCUCAAAUUUGAAAUCUUCAAGGUUCUACCUUGACGAAUUGUAGUUUAAAGAAGUGUUUUCUGUUAGAUGAGUAGCAAAAGUUCCUUGGAAUGGGACAUCAUAGAGGGUGAGAAUCCCGUAUUUGGUUAUUCAUUCUAGCUUUGUGAUACACUUUCAAAGAGUCGGAUUGUUUGGGAAUGCAGUCCAAAAUGGGUGGUAAAUUUCAUCUAAAGCUAAAUAUUGGCGAGAGACCGAUAGCGAACAAGUACCGUGAGGGAAAGAUGAAAAGAACUUUGAAAAGAGAGUUAAACAGUACGUGAAAUUGUCAAAAGGGAAGCGUUUGACACCAGUGUUGUUUAGUUGAAAAUCAAUUCAAUAGUUUUUUGAUUCUAAGUAGUAUUGACUUCAUCAGCUUGCUGCUUUCUUCUCAGAAAUUAUUGAAUGCACUUUUCAGUUAACAAGUCAACAUCAAUUUCUUUUGUUGUAAAAGGGUAAGAGGAAGGUGGCUUGCGCUUCGGCUCAAGUGUUUAUAGCCUUUUAUCUCUGCAAUCGGAGAGAUUGAGGUCUGCAGCGUAGAUCCUUCGGGGUUAGAUACAUUGGUGCUAAGCUAUAGCCUUGUAUAGACAACUUGUUGACUAUGCUCAGUCAUGUAGCUUACUCGCUGAUGCUAUUUUACCUACGCUUAGGAUGUUGAGUAGCGACAUACGCAC
RNAcentral lists this ribosomal RNA (775 nucleotides) under uncultured Neocallimastigales. RNAcentral describes it as "partial large subunit ribosomal RNA". It matches the Rfam family "Eukaryotic large subunit ribosomal RNA", at positions 24 to 649 of the family's 3401-position model. Lineage: Eukaryota; Fungi; Neocallimastigomycota; Neocallimastigomycetes; Neocallimastigales. The record is from RNAcentral.